RNAcentral lists this long non-coding RNA (1106 nucleotides) under Bos taurus (domestic cattle). RNAcentral describes it as "long non-coding RNA NONBTAT018214". Lineage: Eukaryota; Metazoa; Chordata; Mammalia; Artiodactyla; Bovidae. The record is from RNAcentral.
GUUCUGGCCCUUAGCUCAGUUAGACCACUUGAGGUACAACAGUAAAAGUAAGGGGUGUGUUGCUUUCAGAGUCUAACACUUGUUUAGUUUAUUUAAAAACUAUUUCAUGAGCAGAUUUUCACUGACAGUUUUUGUUGUUGUUGUUUUGUCUUUUUAAUUUCUUUUAAUAGUUUCUUCAGACAGUGAAAUUGCUCAUUACGCAGGUACAACUUAAACUGCAGUUUGGGUCCAUAUAGGAACCAUUCACCAAAAACUCUGUGGUAACAGAACUAGGAAAUCCUCUUGAGAAGAGGGCCUUAAUGACCUUUUUGUGAAAAAGUUUUUGGAGAGAAUUUCUGGACUUUUUUUUCUGUCUCUGCCACAAUAUUUGCUUUGGAGAUAGGAGUUAGGUAUGAGAACAGGAAGAGAAAUGGAGCUGACCCUGUUAACAUUCUGGUUAUAGUGAUAUGCCUAAAGGGAGAAAAUGAUUUCAGGUGACCACGGUGAACUGUCUAGCUUAAUGAGGAGUUUUAUAUGUAUGAUUUAAACAGUUGGAAAUUUAAAGUCCCACAGUGUUCUUUGGCUGUUUAGCAAUUGUUUGUAUGAGUGUUUUAAAGAAAAUAACAGCUGCUGUCUUUGGUAACACAAAUGAAGGUGGAUUUUUAAAAGGUUUUGUAUCUUGACCCCUUUCUACAAUGAUGGAGUAGGUCUGUAUUGCUCCAUAUAAAUUACAGAAUGAAAAUAGAGGGGGUAUAAGUUUGACUAAAUUCUACCUUUUUAUAGUUUCAUUUUUUUUAACUUAUAUAGAAUAUAUUGAUUAUAAAUUUGAUUUUUUCUGAAUUUUUUUGACAUGUUUUACUCAGUUACAUGAGUACAAAGGAUAUUUUCAGUCCUAUAAUCGUUAAUUGCAGUCUUUAAAAAAAAAAAUUCACCCUAUUGUUCUACUUGUUGUCUGUUCACAGUAAGUUCAUUUCAAGGUUUGUGCCAGUGGGUAUUAUUGGUGCUUUUUGAAGUCAAGGUGGAUUGUCCAGGAAGGUCUUGUUAAUGUUAUGUUCAUCUAUAAUGGCAUAUUGUGAUGCCAAUGCCGGUGUUUUAAGUGGAAAAAAAAUGACCUUGCUUUGUGCUGU